Molecule: ribosomal RNA, 300 nt
Filed under: Triticum aestivum (bread wheat)
Lineage: Eukaryota; Viridiplantae; Streptophyta; Magnoliopsida; Poales; Poaceae
Description: partial small subunit ribosomal RNA
Source: RNAcentral
AUGCCAGAUUUUCUCCAUGUCAUCCCAGUUGCUUACGAUACCGUGCUCAAUCGGGUACUUGAGUGUGAGGAUACCUCUCUUGGACUGCGCCUCAUCACCAACAUAAGCAUCCUUCUGCCCCAUCCCUACCAUGACACCAGUGUGCCGUGGGCGACCAACUAUGCUAGGGAAAACAGCCCUUGGUGCAUCAUCUCCAGCGAAACCAGCCUAGACGAUAAUAAACCACAAGAAAAUGACGUGUUAACAGAUGCAGGAGAUGACAUGUUAAAAGAUGCAGGAGAUGACAUAUCACAUAUGUAA